ACUCUUCACUCUCAUUCUCAUGGUAAAGGUAUGUCUUUUCUCCCUCUCCCUCCCCCUCUCCCUCUCUUGCGCCGCUGACUAUAGAGAGAGCGUCACUGACUACACUCCCUUGAACGGCGCUGGCCCUUCGUGCCCCUCUCGCACAGCCAAUCGUGAGCAGCGCCGAUCGUGACCCUCUCUCCGAUCAAUGCCCUCUGCUCUCUCUCUGUUGUUCGCUUUUCAAGCUAUGGCCUUUCUAUCUCAGAUUCACAUAUGAUUUUCUUGAAAGAAGGGACGGAAGGGUUUCUUCGUGCGAGUCUUUGAUUCGAUGCACUUGGUGUCGAGGAUGCUAUUGUGCUUGCAUUUGCUCAACGCCGAUGUCCAAAUUUGGCUCGACAAUUCAUCUUAGAUCCAAAAUCAUCCGGUGAUCCCAAGUUUAUGGAGGCAUAUGGUUAUAUAUGGAGAUACAGAUUCUGUAAUGGUUCAAUUUGGUGUUUCUACUUUUGAAGAAGCUAUGAACUUGGGGAGGGAAGCAGCUGAUUACAUUAGUGGAACUUUCACGAAAUGACAAAUACGUUGAGGAGUCUUUGGGCGGAAGUACUGUGGCUCAGAUCUUUAAGAAGUUGGGUGAGAGUUUCUUUGGAGACUUUUGAGGUUUAUUAAUUAGCAUUGGAUUUAUGUUAAAGUGCUGCAUUAUGUGAUUUGUGAUUUAGUUUAGGUAUAGUAUUCUUGUAACCGUCUUGUUUAGUUGUUGGUUGAGAGGUUAUUUUCCUUUAAGUUUUGGCCAUGCAUUUAAGAUUUUCAUUUUGGAUUUAUUGAUUCUAUGUAUAGGUCAUAUCUAUAUGGUAAUUCAAACAUUUAUACUAGUAACAAUCAAAGUGGUUAUUCUUUUUCUAUUGAUGCAGGAGAUAAAGAGUCAGUAUGAUGAGAAAAGGUUCGACUGUAUCUUUUGUAAGACUAGAACAGCCUCUACAAAUAGUUAGUUUAUUCAUACGCUUCUAGUUGUUUCUGAAUUAAUUUGUGUUUUCAUUUUUUAGGUAAGAAAUUUCUUGGAGAGAUGCAAAAUGCAAAAUAUGGUCAAAGAAUUCAAGAAUU
This is a non-coding RNA of Camellia sinensis, 1074 nucleotides long. The record is from RefSeq and is a predicted model, not a curated record. Lineage: Eukaryota; Viridiplantae; Streptophyta; Magnoliopsida; Ericales; Theaceae.